RNAcentral lists this ribosomal RNA (427 nucleotides) under uncultured bacterium. RNAcentral describes it as "partial 16S ribosomal RNA". It matches the Rfam family "Bacterial small subunit ribosomal RNA", at positions 354 to 796 of the family's 1533-position model. The record is from RNAcentral.
GUGGGGAAUAUUGGGCAAUGGGGGAAACCCUGACCCAGCGACGCCGCGUGAGGGAAGAAGGCCUUAGGGUCGUAAACCUCUGUUGUGUGGGAAGAAGAGUGUGACGGUACCACACGAGGAAGUCCCGGCUAACUACGUGCCAGCAGCCGCGGUAAUACGUAGGGGACGAGCGUUGUCCGGAUUUACUGGGCGUAAAGGGCGCGUAGGCGGUCAUUUAAGUCAGCUGUGAAAUGGUUUGGCUUAACCGGAUCAUGCGGUUGAAACUGGAUGACUGGAGUGCUGGAGAGGCAAGUGGAAUUCCCAGUGUAGCGGUGAAAUGCGUAGAUAUUGGGAAGAACACCGGUGGCGAAGGCGACUUGCUGGCCAGCAACUGACGCUGAGGCGCGAAAGCCAGGGGAGCAAACGGGAUUAGAUACCCGGGUAGUCC